RNAcentral lists this ribosomal RNA (486 nucleotides) under uncultured bacterium. RNAcentral's name for it is "partial 16S ribosomal RNA". It matches the Rfam family "Bacterial small subunit ribosomal RNA", at positions 30 to 507 of the family's 1533-position model. The record is from RNAcentral.
AUUGAACGCUGGCGGCAUGCCUUACACAUGCAAGUCGAACGGCAGCACGGGUGCUUGCACCUGGUGGCGAGUGGCGAACGAGUGAGUAAUACAUCGGAACAUGUCCUGUAGUGGGGGAUAGCCCGGCGAAAGCCGGAUUAAUACCGCAUACGAUCUACGGAUGAAAGCGGGGGACCUUCGGGCCUCGCGCUAUAGGGUUGGCCGAUGGCUGAUUAGCUAGUUGGUGGGGUAAAGGCCUACCAAGGCGACGAUCAGUAGCUGGUCUGAGAGGACGACCAGCCACACUGGGACUGAGACACGGCCCAGACUCCUACGGGAGGCAGCAGUGGGGAAUUUUGGACAAUGGGCGAAAGCCUGAUCCAGCAAUGCCGCGUGUGUGAAGAAGGCCUUCGGGUUGUAAAGCACUUUUGUCCGGGAAGAAAUCCUUGGCCCUAAUACGGUCGGGGGAUGACGGUACCGGAAGAAUAAGCACCGGCUAACUACGUG